AGAGCAUGAUUUUAAUGAAGCAAUUACACUACUACUUUAUGGAAAGAAGAGUCAGCCUAUGUUAGUAAAUACGUUUAACCCAUUUGAUAAUUUAUUAUUAUCGUCUUUAAUUGCAGCAAUACCGAUUGUACUGUUUUUACUAUGUUUAACUGUUUUUAAAAUGAAAGGUAUUUAUGCAGCUAUUACAACACUUGUUGUAACAUU
RNAcentral lists this small RNA (204 nucleotides) under Staphylococcus aureus. Its description in RNAcentral is "HMPRFS0000_2643". The record is from RNAcentral. Lineage: Bacteria; Bacillati; Bacillota; Bacilli; Caryophanales; Staphylococcaceae.